Molecule: ribosomal RNA, 250 nt
Filed under: uncultured bacterium
Lineage: Bacteria
Description: partial 16S ribosomal RNA
Rfam family: Bacterial small subunit ribosomal RNA
Source: RNAcentral
UACGUAGGGGGCAAGCGUUAUCCGGAAUUACUGGGUGUAAAGGGAGAGUAGGCGGCAUGGUAAGUUAGAUGUGAAAGCCCGGGGCUUAACCUCGGGAUUGCAUUUAAAACUAUCAAGCUAGAGUACAGGAGAGGUAAGUGGAAUUCCUAGUGUAGCGGUGAAAUGCGUAGAUAUUAGGAAGAACAUCAGUGGCGAAGGCGACUUACUGGACUGAAACUGACGCUGAGGCUCGAAAGCGUGGGGAGCGAAC